CCCACUCCGGUGUUCUUGCCUGGAGAAUCCCAGGGACGGGGGAGCCUGGGGGGCUGCCGUCUAUGGGGUCGCACAGAGUCGGACAGGACUGAAGCGACUUAGCCAGCAGCAGCCUCACAAUGGCGUCCCCUGCCCCUACGGUGAAUUCUGUGUUCCCUGAGGUUACCGAAGCUGCUGCACUCACUUUUUAAAAUUUUUUAAGAAGCAAUCUUUUGCUUCGUUGCAUGAUAGGAAAGCUGGUUGGAAGCCGCGGAUCUGAUGGCCACAGGAGGUGCUGAGAUCCUGCAGGCCUCUCUCAGCGGCGUGCGCCCGGCAUCUCCACCCGAGAUAUGGCGGCCGUGGCUCCUAGUGUCAGGGUCGGCUGUGCCGCUCCUCCACCCUGGGCUGCAGGUCUUUUUCCAUGCCAUUUCCCCCACCCCCCCCCCCCCCCCCCGACCCCAUAGGAGGGAAAUGAGUGAGUCAUUCAGAAAAGCUCUCCCCCACAGCUAGCUUCUCUAUCCCAGCCUACAGGGUCUCUCAUCGCAUGUCCUUAAAAUAGCUUCUCUCUCUGGCAGACUAAUUUCCAUGGAGAUCCAACGAUCUGAAGGCCUAGAAGCAUUCUGCAAGGCAGCAAGCCCAGCUCGAAGCCUUCACUCCAGCAGAAGAAGAGCCUUUGUGAUGCAAAUGUGUGGUCUCACCACCCCCCACCCCAGACACCACCCCUCUCCAGCCCCCGCCUUUCAGCUUCCUUUCUGGGAAACCCACUCUGUGUGGGAACAGCCCCGGCAGGUAGAGUCCAGGCAGUCUCCUUUCCCCUCAGCUCCCAGCGUUCCACCAUCACUGGGCUGGGCUGGGAGUGAUUCUACACCAGGUGUGAAGGCUCGCGGUCUUCCCUAAACCACAUGUUAAAGGCGUGUGCUGGGCCUUAGGGUCAGCAUGCUGAUCGAAGGGGACCACCUCAAGGAGGGCUGCGUUUCUGAGCCUCAGCCUCCUCAUCUGUAGAAUGGGCAGAAGGGAGCCUUGAGCGUGGUGUGGAUGUGCGGAUUCAGUGACCACGCAUCUGCACCUGGCACAUCAUAGGUGUCCGGAUCCAGGUCAAGGCUCUACUGCCUGAAGCCAAAGGACCGCUGUGUUUCUGCAGCUGGAAGGAAGCACUUCGGAUCUAUAAGGCAGGGGUCCCCAACCCCGGGCCAUGGACUGGUACCUAUCAGCGGCCUGUUAGGAACUAGGUCACACAGCAGGAGGUGAGCAGCAGAGCAAACAUCAAAGAAGGGGAUUCCUAAGGAGCUAUGUGUCAUCCAGUGGUCUCCAGUUCCACUUCCAUAUUUCUUCCGUAUUUCUGGGUUUUGACCCUUUUCUGCCCCCAUUCUGGUCCAUGAGGGAAAGCUCAUGUGGAAGACAGACUUCGCUGAAAUUUGGGGUCAAGAUUUGGUUGCCUCAUCACAAAAUAUCGCAGCCAACAAUUCACAAAUAACUAGUAGAUGUCUUUGUUCUGAAAAUUCUAACGUCACCUGGCCAGCAGAAAUUUCUCUCUGAGCUACUUUCUCUGGGAUGUCCCACCCCCUGUGCUGACCCCACCUCUGCUUAGAGCUCCCCACAAUCUUCUAACUUUGUGCUGUGGAAUAACAUGGCUCUCCAUUGCAUGCAAAGCCCAUCCUUGCCAUGUCUGGGGGUCGUCACUUUACUAUAGCCAUUACUCUCCAAGUUGGUCUGCUGCAAGAAGAUGGUAUUCUCUCUGAAAAACUCCAUUACUAACUUUUAGACCCAUGUUUUCUUGUGGCAGAAAGUGAAGAAGAACUAAAGAGCCUCUUGAUGAACGUGAAAGAGGAGAGCUUAAAACUCAACAUUCAGAAAACUAAGAUCAUGACAUCUGGUCCCAUCACUUCAGGGCAAAUAGUUGGGGAAACAAUGGAAAUAGUGACAGACUUUAUUUUGGGGGGCUCCAAAAUCACUGCAGAUGGUGACUGCAGCCAUGAAAUAAAAAGAUGCUUGCUCCUUGGAAGAAAAGCUAUGACCAACCUAGACAGCAUAUUAAAAAGCAGAGAAAUUACUUUGCCAACAAAGGUCCAUCUAGUCAAAGCUAUGGUUUUUCCAGUAGUCACAUAUGGAUGUGAGAGUUGGACUAUAAAGAAACCUGAGUGCCGAAGAACUGAUGCUUUUGAACUGUGGUGUUGGAGAAGACUGUUGAGAGUUCCUUGGACUGAAAGGAUAUCAAACCAGUCCAUCCUAAAGGAGAUCAGUCCUGAAUAUUCAUUGGAAGGAUUGAGGCUGAAGCUGAAACUCCAAUACUUUGGCCACCUGAUUCGAAGAACUGACUCAUUGGAAAAGACCCUGAUGCUGGGAAAGAUUGAAGGAGAGAGGAGAAGGGGUCAAUAGAGGAUGGGAUGGUUGGAUGGCCUCACUGACUUGAUGGACAUGAGUUUGAGCAAACUCUGAGAGUUGGUAUUGGACAGGGAGGCCUAGCGUGCUGCAGUCCAUGGGUCGCAGAGUCUGACAUGACUAACGUCAUGAACUGAACUGAAUUUUCCCUUCUUUUUACAUAUAGAUGCAUCACUGAGCUGUCUCCUGGCUCCCUUCUCUCUUAUUUUUUAAUAUUUUUAGAAAUUUACUUAUUCGGCUGUGCUGGGUGUCAGUGGUGUACAAGAUCUUUAGUUGCAGCAGGUGAACUCUUAGUUUUAGCACUCGAGAUCUUACUUGCAGCUCGUGGGACCUAGUUUCCUGACUGGGGAUUGAACCUGGGCCCCCUGCCUCGGGAGUGCAGGGUUUUAGCCACUGGACCUCCCUUCUUUAUUAACUAGAACGAAUGAGCUCCAAUCCAAACUUGUGUCAUCCACUUAGCCAGAAUCUGAGUCAAAGAAACCCACCCUCAGUAGCUAUUGUACUGAAGCAACCUUCCAAGGGUCCCACUCCCCACCCCACAUGGCUUAUUUGCUCAUCUAAUAUGUAAAUAUAUUAAGUACCUCCCACAUACUAGACAUACAUAGUCUAGUUUUAAUAUUAGCUAUUUAAUAUUAGCUAUUUAACUCUUCCCUAAAAAGCAUUUUUCAGGAGGCUGGUAAGAGUAUAAAAAACCUUUCCAUAUCAUCUCCUUGUUUCUGACAAACACUAGUCCACUUUUAGGCCAAUUGAAGAAACCCAAGUCUAACCAUCCCAGUCACCCAUUGUCA
Molecule: long non-coding RNA, 3146 nt
Organism: Dama dama (fallow deer)
Lineage: Eukaryota; Metazoa; Chordata; Mammalia; Artiodactyla; Cervidae
Exons: 4
Source: RefSeq, a predicted model, not a curated record